RNAcentral lists this RNase P RNA (335 nucleotides) under Pricia sp. RNAcentral's name for it is "RNase P RNA component class A". It matches the Rfam family "Bacterial RNase P class A". From Rfam's summary of the family: Ribonuclease P (RNase P) is a ubiquitous endoribonuclease, found in archaea, bacteria and eukarya as well as chloroplasts and mitochondria. Lineage: Bacteria; Pseudomonadati; Bacteroidota; Flavobacteriia; Flavobacteriales; Flavobacteriaceae. The record is from RNAcentral.
GAAGCAGGCUACCUUAUCGCCUUGUUUGGAUUCCAAUUCAAUACAAGGAGGAAAGUCCGGACACCGAAGUGCGGCAUAGCGGGUAACGCCCGUCGUCCGUCGGCUUUAUUAGUUGACGGAACAGGACAAGUGCAGCAGAAAGAAUGUACAGGUAAUGCUGUAGUGAAAUCAGGUAAACUCUAUGCGGUGAAACGUCAUGUAAAUCGGUGUUUAAGGGUUGCACGCCCGAGCCGAAGGGUAGGCGGUUAGAUUUCGAUAGUAAUAUCGCGACCAGAUAAAUGAUAAGGAGACCUUUUUGAGGUUUUACAGAAUCCGGCUUAUGGCCUGCUUUUUUU